AUUGAACGCUGGCGGCAGGCCUAACACAUGCAAGUCGAGCGGAGCGGCCGUCGCGUGAUUAAUGCCUAGGUAUCUGCCUCUUAGUGGUGGAUAACGUCCCCUAACGGGCCCUAAUACCGCUUCCUAUCAGAUUCGCCUAGUUGGGAUUAGCUAUUUGGUGGGGUAAAGGCCUACCAAGGCGACGAUCCGUAACUGGUCUGAGAGGAUGAUCAGUCACACUGGAACUGAGACACGGUCCAGACUCCUACGGGAGGCAGAAGUGGGGAAUAUUGGACAAUGGGCGAAAGCCUGAUCCAGCCAUGCCGCGUGUGUGAAGAAGGUCUUCGGAUUGUAAAGCACUUUAAGUUGGGAGGCGUUACCAAAAGAAGAAGCACCGGCUAACUUCGUGCCAGCCGCCGCGGUAAUAG
This 407-nucleotide ribosomal RNA is filed under the name uncultured bacterium. RNAcentral describes it as "partial 16S ribosomal RNA". It matches the Rfam family "Bacterial small subunit ribosomal RNA", at positions 30 to 526 of the family's 1533-position model. The record is from RNAcentral.